AAAGUCGUAACAAGGUUUCCGUAGGUGAACCUGCGGAAGGAUCAUUACCAAAAUUUAGCUGCACUGGUUUAGGCUGGUUGCACGCUUCAACCCUUUGUGAACCAAAAACCCUUUACGCUUCGGCAGCUGGUUCUAGCUGUAAGCCUGCCGAUGGCACCAAUUUAAACCUGACUUUAAAACAUUGUCUGAAUAAACCAUUUUCGAAUGAAAAUUAAAACUUUCAACAACGGAUCUCUUGGUUCUC
This 244-nucleotide unclassified non-coding RNA is filed under the name Ascomycota sp. RNAcentral's name for it is "partial contains small subunit ribosomal RNA, internal transcribed spacer 1, and 5.8S ribosomal RNA". The stretch from base 1 to 47 matches the Rfam family "Eukaryotic small subunit ribosomal RNA", at positions 1785 to 1831 of the family's 1831-position model. Lineage: Eukaryota; Fungi; Ascomycota. The record is from RNAcentral.